UUGAACGCUGGCGGCAUGCCUUACCCAUGCCAGUCGAACGGCAGCACGGGUGCUUGCACCUGGUGGCGAGUGGCGAACGGGUGAGUAAUACAUCGGAACAUGUCCUGUAGUGGGGGAUAGCCCGGCGAAAGCCGGAUUAAUACCGCAUACGAUCCACGGAUGAAAGCGGGGGACCUUCGGGCCUCGCGCUAUAGGGUUGGCCGAUGGCUGAUUAGCUAGUUGGUGGGGUAAAGGCCUACCAAGGCGACGAUCAGUAGCUGGUCUGAGAGGACGACCAGCCACACUGGGACUGAGACACGGCCCAGACUCCUACGGGAGGCAGCAGUGGGGAAUUUUGGACAAUGGGCGAAAGCCUGAUCCAGCAAUGCCGCGUGUGUGAAGAAGGCCUUCGGGUUGUAAAGCACUUUUGUCCGGAAAGAAAUCCUUGACUCUAAUACAGUCGGGGGAUGACGGUACCGGAAGAAUAAGCACCGGCUAACUACGUG
This 485-nucleotide ribosomal RNA is filed under the name uncultured bacterium. RNAcentral's name for it is "partial 16S ribosomal RNA". It matches the Rfam family "Bacterial small subunit ribosomal RNA", at positions 30 to 507 of the family's 1533-position model. The record is from RNAcentral.